RNAcentral lists this ribosomal RNA (506 nucleotides) under uncultured bacterium. Its description in RNAcentral is "partial 16S ribosomal RNA". It matches the Rfam family "Bacterial small subunit ribosomal RNA", at positions 29 to 523 of the family's 1533-position model. The record is from RNAcentral.
AUUGAACGCUGGCGGCAGGCCUAACACAUGCAAGUCGGACGGUAGCACAGAGGAGCUUGCUCCUCGGGUGACGAGUGGCGGACGGGUGAGUAAUGUCUGGGGAUCUGCCCGAUAGAGGGGGAUAACCACUGGAAACGGUGGCUAAUACCGCAUAACGUCGCAAGACCAAAGAGGGGGACCUUCGGGCCUCUCACUAUCGGAUGAACCCAGAUGGGAUUAGCUAGUAGGCGGGGUAACGGCCCACCUAGGCGACGAUCCCUAGCUGGUCUGAGGGGAUGACCAGCCACACUGGAAGGGAGACACGGUCCAGACUCCUACGGGAGGCGGCAGUGGGGAAUAUUGCACAAUGGGAGCAAGCCUGAUGCAGCCAUGCCGCGUGUAUGAAGAAGGCCUUCGGGUUGUAAAGUACCUUCAGCGGGGAGGAAGGCGAUGUGGUUAAUAACCGCAUUGAUUGACGUUACCCGCAGAAGAAGCACCGGCUAACUCCGUGCCAGCAGCCGCCGUAA